UACGUAGGGUGCAAGCGUUAAUCGGAAUUACUGGGCGUAAAGCGUGCGCAGGCGGCUUUGCAAGACAGAUGUGAAAUCCCCGGGCUUAACCUGGGAACUGCAUUUGUGACUGCAUGGCUGGAGUGCGGCAGAGGGGGAUGGAAUUCCGCGUGUAGCAGUGAAAUGCGUAGAUAUGCGGAGGAACACCGAUGGCGAAGGCGGCCCGCUGGGCAGUGGCUGACGCUGAGGCGCGACAGCGUGGGGAGCAAACAGG
Molecule: ribosomal RNA, 253 nt
Filed under: uncultured bacterium
Lineage: Bacteria
Description: partial 16S ribosomal RNA
Rfam family: Bacterial small subunit ribosomal RNA
Source: RNAcentral